RNAcentral lists this non-coding RNA (30 nucleotides) under Rattus norvegicus (Norway rat). The record is from RNAcentral. Lineage: Eukaryota; Metazoa; Chordata; Mammalia; Rodentia; Muridae.
UAUUUCUGGAUGCAACUGUCAGCUGAUUAU